AUGUGGGCUUUUCUAGGUCCUCCAGUGCAAUUUUUUGGUACGAUUCCAGAUCUAGUCAAAAGAUGGGGUUUACUAUUGGCCAUGGUUUCAGGUAUCCAUGAGCAGUCUAGGAACCUAUUCCCUGUGGAUACAGGGAUUGUACUGUAUACUAUUUAUAGGUCAAACCAAAUAGCAACUCACAGGCACCAAAUGGAACAGAUUUUUAUUGCCUCUCUCUGGAAACUUUUAACAGUGAAUUCAGGAGUGGAUGGUUGGAACCUAUGCCAAUGAAGCUGGGUAUUUUCUCUAAACAUCCUGACCUCAAAGGAUGGAUGAGGGCAAGGGCUCUGAUUGUUAAUUGCUGGUGAAAAAUACCUGAGUAGGCUAGGAGCCACCUGGGACCCUUUGUCCCCAAAUUUUGAAGGCCCUUCCAAAUCAAGAGCAAUUCUUUAGUGCUUCUUACAAAUCUGCAAAUGAAAUAUGAAGUGGCAUUGUGAUCUCAAGGCUUCUCUGUGUGCCUGAAGUCUUAUAUAAGAUAAGACCCUAAUUUCCUUUCCUCCAAGUGAUCUAUCAUACAUAGAGGGAAUGAACAAGUGGUUGCCAGGAAGCAGUUUUUCAAUAAGGGGUGCAGUGAACAUAUUGGGAUCUGGUAUAAUACAGUCUACCAGAAUUGUACUUCCAGUGCACAGAGCAGCUCUUAAGACUCCAAUGUUUUUUAUCUGGUUGAAAUCACGGCACAGAAGAAAGAAGUGAAGCCAUGUAACAGUCCUUUGUGAUUGGACUAUACCUCCCAUCAGCCCCAAGGAGUUAAAGAUAAGAGAUAAUGGGAAAUGGAAUUUAACAGAAUCUGGAAUACCACCAAUUCAGUAUUCCUAAUCAACAUAUAUCCCUUUAAAUAUUGUUAUUUUUGGAAUCUCUUGGUUGACCCUUACCCAAGCGUGACAAAUUUCCCAGCAACAAAGGCACUUCUGUGUAGAGAUUAAAAUGUAGAACUCACUACCCAGCAUGUUUGCACAACAGCAAACUUCACACAUUAUGUUCCCCAUUAAUCCUUCUGUGAAAAUGUCUUUGGAAUUCUGUAAUGUCUGGAGCACGCUUGGCAUUGCCAGCAGACCUGGCACAGAAGCGUAUGCCUAACCACAGGUUAAAUAAUUGAUAGAAUCUAUGUGAUACUCGAAAGAAUGAUACAGUGAAACCAAGAGGGACAAGGUCAAGUCCUACUCUUCCUAGACACCUUGAAACAUAUGGGGAAGAAGACAAGAAACAUUAAAUAAGCCUAAUCAAGUGCAAGGGGAAGAAAGUAACAAAGACAACACAAAAACAAAUAAGAGAUUGGGUAAACAAAAGAUCCUAGAAGUGAAUCUGAACUCUAACCAUGAUGUGUACAGCCUGUACCAAGAUACAUAAUAUAUACUACAUACAUACAUACAUACAUUCACACACACACAUAUACAUACAUGCAUGCACACACACAGACAUAUAUUCAUACAGUACUGCAAAGAUAUCUGAAAGCAUAUUGGACUUUGACACUCUCAUUGCUUGCUUCACCGGCACAUAAUGCCACCUUUGUUACUAAUUGACGCACCGACAGGCACAGGAGCAUGUAAUGUUUAAUCUAGUAGUCAUUCUUUUAUUUCAGUAUUAAAAUUACCCUGUUGUUCUUUGAAAACCAAAGAGACUUCCAAUAAACUGAAAGCACACCCAGCAUUCCAACAGUAUUCUAAGCAGCUGCAAAUCAUGAUAUUAUGAAAAAGAAACAGGGAGCAACCAUAAAACACUACCAGUAAUCUGGUAUUUUCUAUACAUUAAAACCUUUUAAAAAUGCAUAUAUCUGCUUUGUCAACAGUCAUAUUAUCGACCAGGUUUGUGACGUCUUUCAAGGAACAAUGCUGGCAGGAAUAGGGAACCUAUCAGAUUUUUCCCAUUGCAAGAUCCUUCUGUUUUGCUGUCUAUAGAUGUUCAGUGUGUGUCUCUUUAAUUUCCUUUGUCCCCAUGGCUCUUGAUAGUGUUUCAAAGGAAUUCACUCACUAAUUCUGGUCUUCUUAUCCACAGUCAUAAUCCCAUGGAGGGGAACUUUGAGUCCUUUGGAUUAAC
Molecule: long non-coding RNA, 2073 nt
Filed under: Anolis carolinensis (green anole)
Lineage: Eukaryota; Metazoa; Chordata; Lepidosauria; Squamata; Anolidae
Description: lncRNA (ENSACAG00000037967.1)
Source: RNAcentral